Molecule: long non-coding RNA, 2514 nt
Organism: Diceros bicornis minor
Lineage: Eukaryota; Metazoa; Chordata; Mammalia; Perissodactyla; Rhinocerotidae
Exons: 11
Source: RefSeq, a predicted model, not a curated record
CCUUAGGUUAUAUGUGUGUGGAUAUAUGUUAUUAACACAGGUAUUCAUAGAAAUCCGUCAAUACUCAUGUUAUCUGGAAUUAUGUUAAAAUGUUGUAUGCCACAGAAAUAAUUAAUUUUCCUUAACAAAUGAACUCUCAUGAUAAAUUUAACCAUGGCCCUUUCAAGUCACUUGUCAUUCACAGAAAGUUAUUCCUUUGUUUUGACUCUUCCCCAAAAGUGUUUACAUCAACUACAGGCAAGACUGCUAUGUGAUGGUAACACUUGGAUAACUUUGAAACCUUUCCUCCAGACUGUGUAAAAAUUUCCAGAAGUAAUACAAAAGCUGAUAUAUUCUUAAAACUACUAAGUCAAGAUCUAGCAGAACAAGAAUUAAUUACAAGGUGCUGAAUGAAAUGAUGACAGUCAAAUAGAAGAGUCGAAUGUGGAUUUGGAGACAAUCACCACCCUGCAUCUUGCAAAUCCUCUAUGGUGGCAGGAUUCUCUGCAUUCCCUAUGGGAAUCCUAGGACACAAUUGGAAACAGGUUAUAUUACCAAGGCUUUGACUGGAAUGCCAUAUUUGAGAAAGAAUGUGCAUAGACUCAGAUGUUACCAGACAGCUUUAAGAAACCAAGAUUGACUUUAUGGAGCCAAUAAAGCCAAUUGGAAAUAUCAGCCAGGUAGAAGACUGUACUGAACGCCAUGCUUCUCCAGAAUGUUUUCAUCCUUUGUGGAAACUGCCUUCCUGGAUUAUAAUCCUCACCCUGGCUCAGGACCAUAGGAGGAAAAUGACCAUGACUGCAUUUUAUUAUCUAAUUUGGGUUACAUAUGUAUCUUACUUAAAAGGCUCCUCCACCUGGGUGGAUUUCCACUCCUGUUUCUGACACUUGAAUUCGACUGACCAAGACAAAUACCUCCAAACCAGGAUGAGAAGAAGAUCGCAUCUGUUGUAGACAGCUAUCCCAAGACUCCAGAUCAGGCCUGUAUUCCCAAUAUUAUAUCUCCUCAUUUAAACCUUUGUAAUGCUUAAACCAUAUAUGCAUUUUAUAGUUGUUCCAUUUAAGAUUUUCGGAAUACUAUCAUACUUAAAGAAAGCAAUUGGUUUGGAACAGACUGGUCUUGAAGACCAGGCGUUUAUUGGGUGGUUCCUAAUGGAACUCAACGGUUGUGUGGAACAACCUCUGGCCUUGGCUACUGCCUGGAUGGCUAAGACACUGCAGCCAGGGUUUCUCUUGGAUGCAGGGAAGGAUUUUCCCUGAAUUAACAACUGUUGCCAAUCUUCCUCUCCUUAAGGCCGGAGGGGCGCAUUCAGUGUUUCAUUGGUAUAACCACCUAGAAGCUAUAUUUGUUUCUUCUUUGGGGCUAGAAGAUGUCAUAUCACAUAUAGAAGCCCUGAAAAAAUUUACUCCACAAGCCCUUAAUGAUAAUCAAGCAGAAAUAGCCUUAUUAAAUACUGAAAUGUCUUUAGUAAGAAAGGCUGUCCUUCAAAAUAGAAUAGCCUUGUUUAUUUUAACUGCAUUCCAAGGUGAUAUGGGUGCAAUCAUUCAAACUGAAUACUGUGUUUUUAUACCUGAUGAAUCUUCCAAUUUAUCGUUUCUGCUAAAACAUGAAAACAAGAAAAAGUAGGUGAAUGACCUACAUGACUGUAGACCUAGUCUUGAUUUGUUUAGUUGACUCCCUUCCAGUAUUGGCUGCCUUUUGUGAUCAAAAUUGCAAUUCCUAUUUCUAUGACACCUUAGAAUUCUUGUAUUAGUCAUAAUAUUCAAACUAAUGACUGUUUUCUUUACUCAGUGUUUUAAGACUGGUAUCACUGGCUAGAGUAAUGAUUGCUCAGCAACUUGAGAUGGUCGAUUGAUCUUACAACCCCAGAUGAAUUUCCUUUUCUGAUAAAGACUAUGUGAGCAGAUUCAUUAUUGGAGCCCAGGACCUCACAACCACAACUCUAGUGUGCAUCUUUAAAGGCUAUAUUCACUCCCGAUGAAUAAGGGAUCCAUUGAUUGAAGGAACACCUUUUCUCUGAAGCCAGGUGUAACUUCCACCAAUUUGAAAAUAUUCCUCAUUAAAUGCCUGAUGGUGAGCACUAUCCAGCAAAUAUCCUCUAUUACCAAGUCUCAAGGGAUAAUUCAGCAGAUCAUUAAAGAUUAAAAGUUAUAACGCCACAAUUGGAUAGAUCUGAUUCUUCUUUGGAGCCCUGGAAUCCUCGCCCAGAACCCUAACUGUGUACCCUUGAAACUUUCAUCUUCGCUCUUGGUUGAUCAAGGAUCCUUUGGACACAAUUGGAAACAUUGAAUAUAUCACCAAGUCUUUGGAGUGUCGUGUUUGAGAAUGACGUGCAUGGAAUCAGAUAAGACCCAACAGCUUUAAGAACUAAGGUUGACUUUAAGGAGCCAAUGCUUAUAAAACAAGCCUGUACCUGUCUUACAGGAUUUUCCACCUUACAGGUCAGUAAGGAAGGUCACUUCUUUGACCAGUUCAAGAAUCCAAGGAUAUUUUCAGGAUCCCUAGAAGAGAAUAAUUUCCCCAAAUCUAUAGUCA